GGUUGAGUGGUGUAGUGGUAACACGUUGGCUUCACAUCUAGUGGUACUUCGGUAUCACUUGUGAAGUCGCUGCAGCCCCGGGUUCGAUUCCCGGCUCGACUA
RNAcentral lists this transfer RNA (102 nucleotides) under Moelleriella libera RCEF 2490. RNAcentral's name for it is "Aschersonia aleyrodis RCEF 2490 tRNA". It matches the Rfam family "tRNA". Rfam says of the family: Transfer RNA (tRNA) molecules are approximately 80 nucleotides in length. The record is from Rfam by way of RNAcentral. Lineage: Eukaryota; Fungi; Ascomycota; Sordariomycetes; Hypocreales; Clavicipitaceae.